CAAAAAAGGGGGAAUUUUCCGUAAGGGGGAGCAUGCGGAUGGAUCAUUGAAAGAACUUUGUCCAUCGGUCGCCGUCUUCGCCCUCCUCCGGGAGGGAGAAGCGACGCUCCGACACUCGAUAGGGGACGGGCAAGUCCUUCCCGGGACGUCGAAGACCCUCACGGGUCGACGAAGACGAAUCCCGGGGAGACUCCAAAAAAACCGUAGCCCCCUCGGAGAAACGUCGAUCGAGGGAGGGAUCGCUCGUCGAUCCUUACGGGACACGAGGAGAGAUCAUGUAGAUAUCUUUUGAGGACGGAUACCUCGGUUCCCACGAAGAGGAAGAGCGCGGUGACUCUGGACUAUGUGGAGCGAAUCGCAGCAUUCGGAGACUCAUGCAAUAAAUGAAAGGAAUCAGGCGGUGUAGGGUCUUUCCGGGAGCAAUCGAAUAAGAGUGUACAUCCCAAAAAUACGUACCCUAUAGAGUGAGAAAGACAGAAGGGGAGGCAAAGAGUGAUCGGGAGUAAUCAGAGAGACCGUCUACGUCGAUGAGAGGAGCCCCUCCACAGGACCCCUACGCAAGUGAGGGAUCCAGCUGCAACGAUAUCGAAGAGAGAGAACGAUGGGAACAAAAACAAGUCGGGUGCACAGACCACCACCCAUUUUUGUCUCGAGUUGAUUUGUGCAAUGAGAUCCGGAGCGUAACGACGCUGUCCGUUGUCCGAGAAGCCGGCGACAGAGGAGUAGAAAAAAUCAUGCACUCUCUAAGCACGACCUCACAUCAGGCAAGCUACCCAGU
RNAcentral lists this ribosomal RNA (778 nucleotides) under Chroococcus turgidus M4. RNAcentral's name for it is "partial 18S ribosomal RNA". Lineage: Bacteria; Bacillati; Cyanobacteriota; Cyanophyceae; Chroococcales; Chroococcaceae. The record is from RNAcentral.